CAGAUCACAUACACAAUGGUGAAGGCUGUGGCUGUGCUUACCGGCAGUGAGGGUGUCAAGGGCACCAUCUUCUUCACCCAGGAGGGAGAUGGCCCGACCACCGUGACGGGAAGUGUCACUGGACUCAAGGAAGGGCUCCACGGCUUCCAUGUGCACGCUCUUGGUGACACCACCAAUGGCUGCAUGUCAACUGGACCACACUUCAACCCCGCUGGUCAUGUGCAUGGGGCACCCGAAGAUGAAAUCCGCCAUGCUGGUGAUCUUGGAAAUGUGACAGCUGGAGCGGAUGGUGUUGCUAACAUCAAUGUUACUGACUGCCAUAUCCCCCUUACUGGACCAAAUUCAAUUGUUGGCCGUGCUGUUGUCGUCCAUGGUGACGCUGAUGAUCUUGGCAAGGGUGGACAUGAGCUGAGCAAGAGCACUGGAAACGCUGGUGCCCGUGUUGCUUGCGGAAUCAUCGGGCUCCAGGGCUAG
RNAcentral lists this ribosomal RNA (474 nucleotides) under Triticum aestivum (bread wheat). RNAcentral describes it as "partial small subunit ribosomal RNA". The record is from RNAcentral. Lineage: Eukaryota; Viridiplantae; Streptophyta; Magnoliopsida; Poales; Poaceae.